ACAUACGACCAUAGGGUGUGGAGAACAGGGCUUCCCGUCCGCUCAGCCGUACUUAAGCCACACGCCGGUAGGUUAGUAGUAUGGUGGGUGACCACAUGCGAAUCCCUACUGUUGUAUGUC
RNAcentral lists this ribosomal RNA (120 nucleotides) under Aspergillus nidulans FGSC A4. The record is from RNAcentral. Lineage: Eukaryota; Fungi; Ascomycota; Eurotiomycetes; Eurotiales; Aspergillaceae.